RNAcentral lists this ribosomal RNA (375 nucleotides) under uncultured organism. Its description in RNAcentral is "partial 16S ribosomal RNA". It matches the Rfam family "Bacterial small subunit ribosomal RNA", at positions 527 to 896 of the family's 1533-position model. The record is from RNAcentral.
GGAGGGGGCUAGCGUUGUUCGGAUUUACUGGGCGUAAAGGGCGCGUAGGCGGUAUGCCAUGUCAGGGGUGAAAGGCCUGGGCUCAACCCAGGAACUGCCUUUGAAACUGGCAAACUAGAGUCCGAUAGAGGAUGGCGGAAUUCCCAGUGUAGAGGUGAAAUUCGUAGAUAUUGGGAAGAACACCAGUGGCGAAGGCGGCCAUCUGGAUCGGCACUGACGCUGAGGCGCGAAAGCGUGGGGAGCAAACAGGGAUUAGAUACCCUGGUAGUCCACGCCGUAAACGAUGUGUGCUAGACGUUGGGGGGCCCUUAGGCCCCUGGGUGUCGCAGCUAACGCGUUAAGCACACCGCCUGGGGGAGUACGGCCGCAAGGUUA